RNAcentral lists this ribosomal RNA (377 nucleotides) under uncultured bacterium. Its description in RNAcentral is "bacterial SSU rRNA". It matches the Rfam family "Bacterial small subunit ribosomal RNA", at positions 521 to 896 of the family's 1533-position model. The record is from RNAcentral.
UAAUACAGAGGGGGCGAGCGUUAUUCGGAAUUAUUGGGCGUAAAGGGCGCGUAGGUGGCUUGACAAGUCAAAGGUGAAAUCCCUCGGCUCAACCGAGGAAUGGCCUUUGAAACUGUCGAGCUAGAGGCCGGGAGAGGGUAGUGGAAUUCCCAGUGUAGCGGUGAAAUGCGUAGAUAUUGGGAGGAACACCAGUGGCGAAGGCGGCUACCUGGACCGGUUCUGACGCUGAGGCGCGAAAGCGUGGGGAGCAAACAGGAUUAGAUACCCUGGUAGUCCACGCUGUAAACGAUGGGUGCUCGGUGUCGCGGGUAUCGACUCCUGCGGUGCCUUAGCUAACGCGUUAAGCACCCCGCCUGGGGAGUACGGUCGCAAGGCUG